CCUACGGGAGGCAGCAGUGGGGAAUAUUGGGCAAUGGAGGAAACUCUGACCCAGCGACGCCGCGUGCGGGAUGAAGGCCUUCGGGUUGUAAACCGCUUUCAGUAGGGAAGAAGCGAAAGUGACGGUACCUACAGAAGAAGCACCGGCUAACUAUGUGCCAGCAGCCGCGGUAAUACAUAGGGUGCAAGCGUUGUCCGGAAUUAUUGGGCGUAAAGAGCUCGUAGGUGGUUCGUCACGUCGGAUGUGAAAAUCUGGGGCUCAACCCCAGACCCUGCAUUCGAUACGGGCGAUCUAGAGUGUGGUAGGGGAGACUGGAAUUCCUGGCGUAGCGGUGGAAUGCGCAGAUAUCAGGAGGAACACCAAUGGCGAAGGCAGGUCUCUGGGCCAUUACUGACACUGAGGAGCGAAAGCGUGGGGAGCGAACAGGAUUAGAUACCCUGGUAGUCCACGCCGUAAACGGUGGGCACUAGUUGUGGGAACCUUCCACGGUUUCUGCGACGCNGCUACGCAUAGUAGCCCGCCGUCGGGAGGUACGAGUCGCGAGAGUUAAACGUACUAAGUAGUAGUUAGUUACGUCGUUGAGACGUUGCCGACGGCGACGACGAGGGAGGAGG
RNAcentral lists this ribosomal RNA (614 nucleotides) under uncultured bacterium. RNAcentral's name for it is "bacterial SSU rRNA". The stretch from base 1 to 522 matches the Rfam family "Bacterial small subunit ribosomal RNA", at positions 338 to 873 of the family's 1533-position model. The record is from RNAcentral.